This 527-nucleotide ribosomal RNA is filed under the name uncultured bacterium. RNAcentral's name for it is "bacterial SSU rRNA". It matches the Rfam family "Bacterial small subunit ribosomal RNA", at positions 1 to 524 of the family's 1533-position model. The record is from RNAcentral.
AGACUAUACUAGAGUUUGAUCAUGGCUCAGGAUGAACGCUAGCGGCAGGCCUAAUACAUGCAAGUCGAGGGGUAACGCGGUAGCAAUACUGGCGACGACCGGCGCACGGGUGCGUAACGCGUAUGCAAUUUGCCCAUAACAAGGGAAUAGCCCGGAGAAAUCCGGACUAAUACCCUAUAAUAUAGUGAUUAGGCAUCUAAUUACUAUUAAAGAUUUAUCGGUUAUGGAUGAGCAUGCGUCUGAUUAGCUAGUUGGUGAGGUAACGGCUCACCAAGGCUACGAUCAGUAGGGGGUCUGAGAGGAUGAUCCCCACACUGGUACUGAGAUACGGACCAGACUCCUACGGGAGGCAGCAGUAGGGAAUAUUGGGCAAUGGGCGAGAGCCUGACCCAGCCAUGCCGCGUGUAGGAAGAAGGCUUUCUGAGUUGUAAACUACUUUUGAUUGGGAACAAAAGAUCCUUGCGAGGAGCAUUGAGUGUACCAAUAGAAUAAGCACCGGCUAACUCCGUGCCAGCCGCCGCGGUAAU